Molecule: unclassified non-coding RNA, 356 nt
Filed under: uncultured Pseudomonadota bacterium
Lineage: Bacteria; Pseudomonadati; Pseudomonadota
Description: uncultured proteobacterium contains 16S-23S intergenic spacer region
Source: RNAcentral
UACGUCAUCCCGACCGUAUCGCUGGCAAAUAGGGACAAGGGUUGCGCUCGUUACGGGACUUAACCCAACAUUUCACAACACGAGCUGACGACAGCCAUGCAGCACCUGUCUGAGCGUUCCCGAAGGCACCAAGGUAUCUCUACCAAGUUCGCUCGAUGUCAAGGGUAGGUAAGGUUCUUCGCGUUGCAUCGAAUUAAACCACAUGCUCCACCGCUUGUGCGGGCCCCCGUCAAUUCAUUUGAGUUUUAGCCUUGCGGCCGUACUCCCCAGGCGGGGUGCUUAAUGCGUUAGCUUCGGCACGGAGAGGGUUGAAGACCUCCCCACACCUAGCACCCAACGUUUACGGCUGGGACUAC